AAUAAAUAGGCAAAACUAGGGAAAUCUAGCGACGCAAAGCUAAAGGGGCUAAAGCUAUAUAGCUAUGCCAGCCAGUUGCCAA
This 82-nucleotide non-coding RNA is filed under the name human gut metagenome. Its description in RNAcentral is "Cyclic di-GMP-I riboswitch". It matches the Rfam family "c-di-GMP-I riboswitch aptamer". From Rfam's summary of the family: GEMM was predicted in a large-scale screen for bacterial structured RNA regulatory elements. The record is from RNAcentral.